GACGAGGGAUCCUAGCGUUGUUCGGAAUCAUUGGGCGUAAAGCGGAUGUAGGUGGCUUUGUAAGUCAGGUGUGAAAGCCCCGGGCUCAACCCGGGAAGUGCAUUUGAUACUGCGAAGCUUGAGUGCUGGAGAGGCUACUAGAAUACCUGGUGUAGUGGUGAAAUACGUAGAUAUCAGGUGGAAUACCGGAGGCGAAGGCGGGUAGCCAGCCAGACACUGACACUCAGAUCCGAAAGUGUGGGGAUCAAACAGG
RNAcentral lists this ribosomal RNA (253 nucleotides) under uncultured bacterium. RNAcentral describes it as "partial 16S ribosomal RNA". It matches the Rfam family "Bacterial small subunit ribosomal RNA", at positions 524 to 776 of the family's 1533-position model. The record is from RNAcentral.